Molecule: long non-coding RNA, 4466 nt
Organism: Hyaena hyaena (striped hyena)
Lineage: Eukaryota; Metazoa; Chordata; Mammalia; Carnivora; Hyaenidae
Exons: 5
Source: RefSeq, a predicted model, not a curated record
AGAGCGGGAGACAGGCGGCUGGGCCACGUCCACGCGGGCUUCUCGAGCCCGAGCUCGGGGGCAGAACCUGCGGGCCACUCUCUGCACCGACAAUGCACGGUCCCUUCCCCGCCAUAGCCCUAGCGCAGCAGGCCUACCGCACCUGCGUUUCUGGAACUUUCUUCCCACAGCCCCAUCCAGGCCUAGCUCCGUGCCGCUCCCUCAGAGAGGCUCCCGCACGUGCUGGGGUGGCCACUCCCCCCCCACCGCUGCGGGAAGCCACACGAGGCCCUGAGCGCUGACCACGCUGCACACCGUGUCACCACGCCCUCCCUCUUCCAGCACGGGAUCCGGACAGGACACUCCUCGCUCACGCAGACGCCAGGACCCCAGCAGAGCCCAACACGGAUGCCCCGGGGGGAUGAAUCAGCUUCCACGUCCAGGCAUCAGAUCCACCCAUGUGUCUCUGGAAAUGCCGCCCCCGACGUCAGACCUGCGAUCCAGGGCACCCUUGCUGGCAGGGGAAUGGGGACGCAGGUCUGGUCAAGGAAGGCCCGCCUUCCCUGCCGUGAUUGGGUCAGGGGCAGUCACAUGUCCCGGCCCAGACCAAUCAGAGUGAGCGUCAGCAUUGUUCCCAGGAGCAACAGGAAAGGGAUUGGUUCAGGCCCAGUCACGUGCCCCGACCCCAUCCAAUCACAGUGAGCCUUGGGCUUGUCAUGUGCUGAGGGGAAGGCCUGCGUUCCGGGAGGAGGUGAGGAUGCCCACUGCCACCAUCUUGUCACCGUGCGGGGCCCAGAGGUGAGUCAGGACCCCCUGGAUCCCUGGGUUCCAGAACCCAGACCCGACAAAGACCAAGAUUUGAGAGAGAAUUUCUGAUUACAUCACUGGAGCCUGGGUCCAGCCGCGCCUGAGCGUGCAGGGCAGGAGCCGCCUUGUGGUGGCUUCUGUCACUUCCAGCACGAGGACCCUCCCUCCUGCGGUGGGGGCAUCGGGAGCCGCGUCUGGGUCAGGCUCCUAAAAGCACAGCUCCUGAGCCUCCACUGUCCGGCUUGUUCUCGUCUGUCGGGGACGCGAGCAGCGCCCUGGCUGUGGGGACUGAGCGGCGCUGCCCGUGGUCUCCCCGGUCUCUGAGGCCCCCCUGGCCUCCCUGGUCUCUUGAUCUCCCCAACCUCCGUGCCCCCCCCCUCCAGUCUCCAGCAUCCCUAGUCCAGGGUCUCCAUUGUCUCCCCAGCCUCCGGCCUCCACAGCCUCCCUAGUGACCCGUCUCCGUGGUCUCUCCGGCCUCUACAGCGUCCCGGCCUCCCCUGUCUCUGGGGCCUCCUCAGUCUCUCUGGGGCUCUGAGGACACCGAGGAGAUGGGACACGCAGGACUGAGCGUGUCCACAGCUGGAGUGACGUGCAGGCGGCACCGUGUGAACGCCGAUGUGCAGGGCUCACGCGGGAACCGUGGCCUCACACCCGGGAGCAGGUGGACGUGUGGGCGCUCAGGGCCUCCGACACGGGUGUGAUGGUGCAGAGAACUCGGGUGUGCAACACAAGUGAGCGACACCACAGCGGGCCAUGUGCAGGUGCCGCGGUGGCACAGGUGACCCAGAGAAUGGGGACACGGCCGUCACAGCAAUGCGAGCAUCCCACCCCCACCCCAGUGAGGGCACCUGACAGGCGGACGGCGACGGUGUGAGCGCCCCAGCGGAGCCCAGGCAGAGCUGGCUACACGCGCACGAGGGGGAGUUCACAGGCAAGCGGAUGGGACGGCACAGCCCUAGAUCGGCCACACCGACCGCGCGGCUGUGACCCGCACACAGGCCACGCCGGCCCCUGGACUCCAAUGAAAAGCGGGAAAGGACCGCAUACAGGCACAGUAGUCCCUUCUGGCCCGAGAGCGGAGGCUCUGGCCAGCAUGUGGGUAACCAGGCUGCGGGGCGAUGAGGGCCCUCGGCGGGUCUCCAGCGCUCCGUCUGGAGAGGGAGAUGGGGGUGCUGGACUGAGUCCUCAUUUGUACGGCAGGUCACAGUUGUAAAUCACUCCCCUUCGAUCGUCCACAGAGAAGAACGUCAGCAUGUUUGCGGCAGGUGGUCCUGGUGUGUACGCUUCUCUCUGAGCUGCAGGGGUGCAGGGAAGAUUUGCAGUGAAGCCUUCCUCUGGCAGAUAAAAAGCAGCUUAUGUGGAAGUUCCUGAUGGACUUGCUGCAUAAAUCCUUCCCUGCCACGUCCUGCUGCCCAGGCCUGCCCAGCACCCCUCCUGUUAUCAGAAGUGGGGCUCCCCUGGGAGGUGGGAACCAGCCGGCUGCCGGGUAGAGAGUCCCCAGAUCCUGGGAGGCCCCGGACAUCCCCGGGGAUCGGGAUAGAGGCGUCAGGUGAGGGCAUCCCAGGUCCCGGCGUCCAGCCCCAACAGCUCAGGGACCAGCCCGGGCCUCAGGAGGUGGGCGCUGGUGACACCGUGGGCCAGGCUGCACUGGGACUCUCCAUCCGGGGACUGGUUCUGUUCUGCACCUUCCAGAGCCCCGGGGGUGGUCCCCUGCCGCGGGUCAUCCCAGUGAUGCAGGGGAUAACUGUCCUGGCUGGGCCAUGGAGGAACCUGUCCCUGGGAGGUGGUGACAUGGGCCACAUCCCCAAGCGGAACACGCAUUCACCCAGGUCGGGGCGAGGAGGCUGCUUCAUAGAUGUUUGCCCCUGGGGCCGCUCUGAGUCAGGUUCCCAGGCCCCCCUUUCCUUCACACUGUGCACAGGGGACUCUGAGUUCUGGGUGAAAAGCAUAGAAUCUCCCAAGUCUUUUUCCAGGUUUUCUGACCCUCGGCCCCGAAGGAGCCCAGGUCCUCAACUUGGACCCAGAGAACCGCGACCCAUCCCUGGAGAGAUGGUCGCCCGUGGGAUGUCCUGGGUCCUGUGCUGCUGGCAGAGCAGAGGGAGCUGAGAAAGAAAGUUCUGUGUGAAUUCAAAAUGCAGCAAGGCUUUGAGAAGACAUCAAAGUCCGUUCCACUUUUCAAGAACCAAACGCACGGCCAGGAACAUCACUGAGUGAUGUCAGCACUUGGCCCUCCCAGCAAGUCUCCAUUCUCUGAAGCCUCCCAUGUGAUCUUAGUAUAAUUAAAAGCUCAUAAUGUCCAAGACUGUUUAGAAGGAAAAAAGACACUGUUCUCUUCUCUGAAAUUAAUUAUGUGCUUGUCAGAGCCCAUUUACAGCAUCCCUGGGAGUGUGUGACAGCCCACACGUCCCUGUGGACUUUGGUGGCCUUUUUCACUGCCUGCAAGUGCUGAGCGGGUCCAGGGAUGAGAGCUUUCCCGGUCAGGUGAUCACGACUAUGGACUGUCUCCAGUCCCCGGGCUGCUGCGGGUUCAAGGUGUGGCUCGAGGCCCUGCUGCCGCAGCCCUGGGCGCCUGGACGCUGCUCACGGCCUGUGCACCAGGGUGACCCUUGGCCCUGGAUCCGCUGGGACGUCAACCACAGUCAGGCAUCAGGCACAUUUCCCUCGUAAAGAAGCUAUCCCCCAGCUAUCAGAGCAUGCAACUCAUUCAUUCAGAAUGUGUUUUCUCAGGUACCAGUUUAUGUCCUUGAAAUUGAAGCUAUAAAUCCUAAUAGCGAAACAGAUUCGUUCCCUGCCUUCACGUUUACAGUUUAGAGAGGGAUACAGAAUCACAGUAACUACUCUAAAGACAUAGAAUUGCAAAGUGUAGUGGAUAUUGAGACGGAAAAUAUAGGAAUUGUUGGAAGCACUGAAUGGAUGCUUGUUGAGCUGACGUCUGAACCAGCUGCAGUCAGCGUAGAUGACAUUCCAGAGAGGAAACAACAGGUGUGAAGCCCCCAAGGUGGGAGGAUCAGGCCCCUUAGGUCCAGAAGUCAUUGUCAUAACAGCAGCUGGCACGAACACGGGCUCACUGCUCGAAGUACGCCUCGCAUCGUAAGUUCCACUGCAGCCCCGGGAUGAGGACAAUGAGGAGAGUAACACCAGUAGCCCCAGGCUGUGGACAAGGACCCUGAAGCUCGUGUGGAUAAUGGCCGCCUACGUUUCCACAGAUAAUGAGUGGGAGGACCAGGAUGUGAACCAGACCGUCCGGCUCUCUGUGUCGAGCUUCUGUAAGAUGUUUGAGCGUUUCUUGAGUUUCACGAGGAGAUGGAGCCUGGUGUGCCAGAGACCAGGGGUCAGUGGGGCCAGGUCACAAGGGCCUGAGGCUGCUGCUUAUGUCAGGAUCCUUUUCUCCACGAGCAACAAAAGCAAACCAACACCAAACCAGCUACGUGAAAAGAGACACCGUUGUGCACUUGCCUGAAAGAUUGGGGGUAGGUUUCAGAUCUGGCUUGAUUCAGGGGCUUAAGUGUCAUCAACAGCACCCAUUUUCUCUUCUCCUUCCCUAUAUUGGCUUUAUUCUGAGAGCAUUUCUGUCCAACAACUCAAACCUUAACAUCCUCCCAAUUCAUAAUUCAAAAGCUUCAAGAAAGAUUGCCUACCACUUCCCAGCCGUUCAAGCAUAAAGCCUGUUUGGGCUGAAA